Molecule: ribosomal RNA, 253 nt
Filed under: uncultured bacterium
Lineage: Bacteria
Description: partial 16S ribosomal RNA
Rfam family: Bacterial small subunit ribosomal RNA
Source: RNAcentral
UACGUAGGUGGCGAGCGUUGUCCGGAUUUACUGGGCGUAAAGGGCGUGCAGGCGGUUUGCUAAGUCUAGGGUGAAAGCUCCCGGCUCAACUGGGAGAGGUCCUUGGAUACUGACAGACUUGAGGGAGGCAGAGGAGAAUGGAAUUCCCGGUGUAGUGGUGAUAUGCGCAGAUAUCGGGAAGAACACCCGUGGCGAAGGCGGCUCUCUGGACCGAGACUGACGCUGAGGCGCGAAAGCGUGGGGAGCAAACAGG